AGUGAACGCUGGCGGUAGGCCUAACACAUGCAAGUCGAACGGCAGCACAGUAAGAGCUUGCUCUUACGGGUGGCGAGUGGCGGACGGGUGAGGAAUACAUCGGAAUCUACUUUUUCGUGGGGGAUAACGUAGGGAAACUUACGCUAAUACCGCAUACGACCUACGGGUGAAAGCAGGGGAUCUUCGGACCUUGCGCGAUUGAAUGAGCCGAUGUCGGAUUAGCUAGUUGGCGGGGUAAAGGCCCACCAAGGCGACGAUCCGUAGCUGGUCUGAGAGGAUGAUCAGCCACACUGGAACUGAGACACGGUCCAGACUCCUACGGGAGGCAGCAGUGGGGAAUAUUGGACAAUGGGCGCAAGCCUGAUCCAGCCAUACCGCGUGGGUGAAGAAGGCCUGCGGGUUGUAAAGCCCUUUUGUUGGGAAAGAAAAGCAGCAGGUUAAUACCCCGCUGUUCGGACGGUACCCAAAGAAUAAACACCGGCUAACUUCGU
RNAcentral lists this ribosomal RNA (491 nucleotides) under uncultured bacterium. RNAcentral describes it as "partial 16S ribosomal RNA". It matches the Rfam family "Bacterial small subunit ribosomal RNA", at positions 29 to 506 of the family's 1533-position model. The record is from RNAcentral.